This is a long non-coding RNA of Callorhinus ursinus (northern fur seal), 547 nucleotides long. RefSeq lists it as uncharacterized. The record is from RefSeq and is a predicted model, not a curated record. NCBI's taxonomy places the organism in Eukaryota, Metazoa, Chordata, Mammalia, Carnivora, Otariidae.
CUGAGAGCUGGUUACACUAGUGUGCCCAGGAAAAAAUUCAUCCAGCUGUACACCUAUGAUAUACCCUGCCUCUGUAGAGCCCAGGCCCUACCUAUAGGUAUGUGGCUUCUGGAAACCAAUAAUCUUGGUUGAGACAUUGACUGCCAAUUCCUCACUGGGUGAUCAUGGUAAAACGGACAUAAUAUCUAAAAAGGUUUCACCAGUUGUGAAGAUGAUCAAAAAUUUCAUAUGAAAACAUCAUGCCUUAUCUACAGCAAGUCAUUGCAUUAAUCUGACCUAUACACCCUCAUUUUGAAGAAUCAAGAAUACUUUGGAUUCUCUGAAAUGCUGUCAUAAAGAUAUACUUCAUUUUGAGAAGUGAAUAAGAUAUCUACAAGCGCCUGGAACGGGGCCAGGCAUAUGCUGACUAAUGGACCAGUUCAGACCAUCUUUGUAAGCCUCAGGAAAGAAAAUGGGCACUUCCAAAUAUUAUGUAGACAAAUCAUCAGCAUGGACUCUCAACACUAAAUAGUUCAGCUAUACCCAUGGCAACGACAGCAAUUUCAGG